RNAcentral lists this microRNA precursor (72 nucleotides) under Medicago truncatula (barrel medic). RNAcentral describes it as "MIR2629 microRNA precursor family". It matches the Rfam family "MIR2629 microRNA precursor family". The record is from Rfam by way of RNAcentral. Lineage: Eukaryota; Viridiplantae; Streptophyta; Magnoliopsida; Fabales; Fabaceae.
AACCGAAGUUUUCCUCGGUAGUUAACUGCAGCCGAUUUCAUUUUUCCUCGACAGUUAACUGCCGAAGGGCAU